This 429-nucleotide ribosomal RNA is filed under the name Acidobacteriota bacterium. Its description in RNAcentral is "Acidobacteria bacterium partial 16S ribosomal RNA". It matches the Rfam family "Bacterial small subunit ribosomal RNA", at positions 355 to 776 of the family's 1533-position model. Lineage: Bacteria; Pseudomonadati; Acidobacteriota. The record is from RNAcentral.
UGGGGAAUUUUGGACAAUGGGGGAAACCCUGAUCCAGCCAUCCCGCGUGUGCGAUGAAGGCCUUCGGGUUGUAAAGCACUUUUGGCAGGAAAGAAACGUCAUGGGUUAAUACCCCGUGAAACUGACGGUACCUGCAGAAUAAGCACCGGCUAACUACGUGCCAGCAGCCGCGGUAAUACGUAGGGUGCAAGCGUUAAUCGGAAUUACUGGGCGUAAAGCGUGCGCAGGCGGUUCGGAAAGAAAGAUGUGAAAUCCCAGAGCUCAACUUUGGAACUUCAUUUUGAACUACCGGGCUAGAGUGUGUCAGAGGGAGGUGGGAUUCGGCGUGUAGCAGUGAAAUGCGUAGAUAUGCGGAGGAACACCGAUGGCGAAGGCAGCCUCCUGGGAUAACACUGACGAUCAUGCACAAAAGCGUGGGGAGCAAACAGG